CCUACGGGGUGCAGCAGUGAGGAAUAUUGGUCAAUGGGCGCGAGCCUGAACCAGCCAAGUCGCGUGAGGGAAGACGGUCCUAUGGAUUGUAAACCUCUUUUGUCGGGGAGCAAAAGACGCCACGCGUGGCGUUCCGAGAGUACCCGAAGAACAAGCAUCGGCUAACUCCGUGCCAGCAGCCGCGGUAAUACGGAGGAUGCGAGCGUUAUCCGGAUUUAUUGGGUUUAAAGGGUGCGCAGGCGGAAGAUCAAGUCAGCGGUAAAAUUGAGAGGCUCAACCUCUUCGAGCCGUUGAAACUGGUGUUCUUGAGUGAGCGAGAAGUAUGCGGAAGGCGUGGUGUAGCGGUGAAAUGCAUAGAUAUCACGCAGAACUCCGAUUGCGAAGGCAGCAUACCGGCGCUCAACUGACGCUCAUGCACGAAAGUGUGGGUAUCGAACAGGAUUAGAUACCCUUGUAGUC
This 459-nucleotide ribosomal RNA is filed under the name uncultured bacterium. Its description in RNAcentral is "partial 16S ribosomal RNA". It matches the Rfam family "Bacterial small subunit ribosomal RNA", at positions 338 to 795 of the family's 1533-position model. The record is from RNAcentral.